This 207-nucleotide ribosomal RNA is filed under the name uncultured Eubacteriales bacterium. Its description in RNAcentral is "uncultured Clostridiales bacterium partial 16S ribosomal RNA". It matches the Rfam family "Bacterial small subunit ribosomal RNA", at positions 1175 to 1382 of the family's 1533-position model. The record is from RNAcentral. Lineage: Bacteria; Bacillati; Bacillota; Clostridia; Eubacteriales.
GGGGAUGACGUCAAAUCAUCAUGCCCCUUAUGUUCUGGGCUACACACGUGCUACAAUGGCCGGUACAGAGAGACGCAAUGUCGUGAGGCGGAGCAAAACUCCAAAACCGGUCCCAGUUCGGAUUGCAGGCUGCAACUCGCCUGCAUGAAGUCGGAGUUGCUAGUAAUCGCGAAUCAGAAUGUCGCGGUGAAUGCGUUCCCGGGUCUU